This 74-nucleotide small RNA is filed under the name Xanthomonas campestris. RNAcentral's name for it is "sX9 sRNA". It matches the Rfam family "Xanthomonas sRNA sX9". Lineage: Bacteria; Pseudomonadati; Pseudomonadota; Gammaproteobacteria; Lysobacterales; Lysobacteraceae. The record is from RNAcentral. RNAcentral also lists the same sequence under 1 other name.
AGGUACUGGCGGACACUCCGGUUCUUCCGCGCCGUUCGCAUCACCUGACGACUGCUCGCUACGUUUUGUUAGCC